UGCGGAGGAUCAUUACCGAGUGUAGGGUUCCUAGCGAGCCCAACCUCCCACCCGUGUUUACUGUACCUUAGUUGCUUCGGCGGGCCCGCCAUUCGUGGCCGCCGGGGGCUCUCAGCCCCGGGCCCGCGCCCGCCGGAGACACCACGAACUCUGUCUGAUCUAGUGAAGUCUGAGUUGAUUGUAUCGCAAUCAGUUAAAACUUUCAACAAUGGAUCUCUUGGUUCCGGCAUCGAUGAAGAACGCAGCGAAAUGCGAUAACUAGUGUGAAUUGCAGAAUUCCGUGAAUCAUCGAGUCUUUGAACGCACAUUGCGCCCCCUGGUAUUCCGGGGGGCAUGCCUGUCCGAGCGUCAUUGCUGCCCAUCAAGCACGGCUUGUGUGUUGGGUCGUCGUCCCCUCUCCGGGGGGGACGGGCCCCAAAGGCAGCGGCGGCACCGCGUCCGAUCCUCGAGCGUAUGGGGCUUUGUCACCCGCUCUGUAGGCCCGGCCGGCGCUUGCCGAACGCAAAUCAAUCUUUUUCCAGGUUGACCUCGGAUCAGGUAGGGAUACCCGCUGAACUUAAGCAUAUCAAUA
RNAcentral lists this ribosomal RNA (571 nucleotides) under Aspergillus oryzae. RNAcentral's name for it is "eukaryotic LSU rRNA". The stretch from base 198 to 351 matches the Rfam family "5.8S ribosomal RNA". The record is from RNAcentral. Lineage: Eukaryota; Fungi; Ascomycota; Eurotiomycetes; Eurotiales; Aspergillaceae.